GAGUGUGAUCAUUCUUGCACUAUGCAUCGGAUCCCAUCAAAACUUUACAGUUAAGUGGACUUGGACGAGAGUAGUACUAAGUUGGGUGACUACUUGGGAAGUCCUCGUAUUGCACCCC
Molecule: ribosomal RNA, 118 nt
Filed under: Cucumis melo (muskmelon)
Lineage: Eukaryota; Viridiplantae; Streptophyta; Magnoliopsida; Cucurbitales; Cucurbitaceae
Also listed under: 1 other name
Source: RNAcentral